RNAcentral lists this ribosomal RNA (393 nucleotides) under uncultured bacterium. Its description in RNAcentral is "partial 16S ribosomal RNA". It matches the Rfam family "Bacterial small subunit ribosomal RNA", at positions 523 to 918 of the family's 1533-position model. The record is from RNAcentral.
AUACGGAGGAUCCGAGCGUUAUCCGGAUUUAUUGGGUUUAAAGGGAGCGUAGGUGGAUUGUUAAGUCAGUUGUGAAAGUUUGCGGCUCAACCGUAAAAUUGCAGUUGAAACUGGCAGUCUUGAGUACAGUAGAGGUGGGCGGAAUUCGUGGUGUAGCGGUGAAAUGCUUAGAUAUAACGAAGAACUCCGAUUGCGAAGGCAGCUCACUAGACUGUUACUGACACUGAUGCUCGAAAGUGUGGGUAUCAAACAGGAUUAGAUACCCUGGUAGUCCACACAGUAAACGAUGAAUACUCGCUGUUUGCGAUAUACAGUAAGCGGCCAAGCGAAAGCAUUAAGUAUUCCACCUGGGGAGUACGCCGGCAACGGUGAAACUCAAAGGAAUUGACGGGG